UACGAGAGGCCCAAACGUUAUUCGGAAUUACUGGGCUUAAAGAGUUCGUAGGCGGCGCGGAAAGUAGGGUGUGAAAGCCCUCGGCUCAACCGAGGAAUUGCGCUCUAAACUACCGUGCUUGAGGAAGCUAGAGGUGAGCGGAACUGAUGGUGGAGCGGUGAAAUGCGUUGAUAUCAUCAGGAACACCAGUGGCGAAGGCGACUGUCUGGGCCAAUACUGACGCUGAGGAACGAAAGCUAGGGUAGCGAACGGG
Molecule: ribosomal RNA, 253 nt
Filed under: uncultured bacterium
Lineage: Bacteria
Description: partial 16S ribosomal RNA
Rfam family: Bacterial small subunit ribosomal RNA
Source: RNAcentral